RNAcentral lists this transfer RNA (72 nucleotides) under Heterocephalus glaber (naked mole-rat). It matches the Rfam family "tRNA". From Rfam's summary of the family: Transfer RNA (tRNA) molecules are approximately 80 nucleotides in length. The record is from Rfam by way of RNAcentral. Lineage: Eukaryota; Metazoa; Chordata; Mammalia; Rodentia; Bathyergidae.
GGAGAUGUAGCUUAGUAGUAGAGCACUUGCCUGGCAUGUGUAAGGCCCUAGGUUCAAUCCCCAGCACCACUA